Molecule: transfer RNA, 74 nt
Filed under: Rhipicephalus sanguineus (brown dog tick)
Lineage: Eukaryota; Metazoa; Arthropoda; Arachnida; Ixodida; Ixodidae
Description: transfer RNA alanine (anticodon CGC)
Rfam family: tRNA
About the family: Transfer RNA (tRNA) molecules are approximately 80 nucleotides in length. Their secondary structure includes four short double-helical elements and three loops (D, anti-codon, and T loops).
Source: Rfam by way of RNAcentral
GCCGCCGUAGCUCAGUGGUAGAGUAUCGGACGCGCGCUAUUUGAAGGUCGCAGGUUCGGUCCCUGCCGGCGGCA